RNAcentral lists this ribosomal RNA (253 nucleotides) under uncultured bacterium. RNAcentral describes it as "partial 16S ribosomal RNA". It matches the Rfam family "Bacterial small subunit ribosomal RNA", at positions 524 to 776 of the family's 1533-position model. The record is from RNAcentral.
UACGUAGGGUCCGAGCGUUGUCCGGAUUUACUGGGCGUAAAGGGCGCGUAGGCGGCGUGACAAGUCACUUGUGAAAUCUCCGGGCUUAACCCGGAGCGGCCAAGUGAUACUGUCGUGCUAGAGUGCGGAAGGGGCUACUGGAAUUCUCGGUGUAGUGGUGAAAUGCGUAGAUAUCGAGAGGAACACCUGCGGCGAAGGCGGGUAGCUGGGCCGACACUGACGCUGAGGCGCGAAAGCCAGGGGAGCGAACGGG